CUGGGCUAUGGAGAUAUGUACCCCAAGACCUGGUUGGGAAUGAUGGUGGGGGCUUUGUGUGCACUUGCUGGUGUGCUAACCAUUGCCAUGCCUGUACCUGUAAUUGUCAACAAC
Molecule: regulatory RNA element, 114 nt
Organism: Scleropages formosus (Asian bonytongue)
Lineage: Eukaryota; Metazoa; Chordata; Actinopteri; Osteoglossiformes; Osteoglossidae
Rfam family: Potassium channel RNA editing signal
About the family: This family represents a group of sequences related to the human potassium channel Kv1.1 hairpin element which directs the efficient modification of an adenosine to inosine by an adenosine deaminase acting on RNA (ADAR). The ADAR modification causes an isoleucine/valine recoding event which lies in the ion-conducting pore of the potassium channel.
Source: Rfam